GGGCAGCUGGGAAUCCGGAAUGCUCCCCGAUGGCCCUGGGUUCUCGCUGUGGGGCAAUCAGGGCUUGCAGGCGAGGUAAGGUCGACUCCAUUUGGCCCGGGGAUGGUGACACGGGCCGGGGCCGGGGCUGCAGUCGCCGCCACGGCUGUUGUCGCGUUGCUCUCGGCCGCACUCGCGCUGUACGGGCCACCACUGGACUCAGUUUUAGAAAGAGCAUUUUCGCUACAUAAAGUACAUUCAGUAAAGGAUAUGGAAAAUACUUUGCAGCUGGUGAGAAAUAUUAUACCUCCUCUGUCUUCCACAAAGCACAAAGGACAAGAUGGAAGAAUAGGCGUAGUUGGAGGCUGUCAGGAGUACACUGGAGCCCCAUAUUUUGCAGCAAUCUCAGCUCUCAAAGUGGGCGCAGAUUUGUCCCACGUGUUCUGCGCCAGUGCGGCCGCGCCUGUGAUUAAGGCCUACAGCCCGGAGCUGAUCGUCCACCCAGUUCUCGACAGCCCCAAUGCUGUUCAUGAGGUGGAGAAGUGGCUCCCCCGGCUGCACGCUCUUGUUGUAGGACCUGGCUUGGGUAGAGAUGAUGCACUUCUCAGAAAUGUCCAGGGCAUUUUGGAAGCAUCAAAGGCCAGGGACAUCCCUGUCGUCAUCGACGCGGACGGCCUGUGGCUGGUCGCUCAGCAGCCAGCCCUCAUCCAAGGCUACCAGAAGGCGGUCCUCACUCCCAACCACAUGGAGUUCAGCAGACUGUAUGAUGCUGUGCUCAGAGGCCCUGUGGACAGUGAUGACCGCCAUGGAUCUGUGCUGAGACUCAGCCGGGCCCUGGGCAAUGUGACGGUGGUCCAGAAAGGAGAGCGCGACAUCCUCUCCAAUGGCCAGCAGGUGCUUGUGUGCAGCCAGGAAGGCAGCAGCCGCAGGUGUGGAGGGCAAGGAGACCUCCUGUCGGGCUCCCUGGGUGUCCUGGUACACUGGGCGCUCCUUGCUGGACCGGAGAAAACAAAUGGGUCCAGCCCUCUCCUGGUGGCUGCAUUCGGUGCCUGCUCUCUCACCAGGCAGUGCAACCACCAAGCCUUCCAGAAGCACGGUCGCUCCACCACCACCUCCGACAUGAUCGCCGAGGUGGGGGCCGCCUUCAGCAAGCUCUUCGAAACCUGAGCCCACGCAGACCAGAAGGAAGUAGGCACCUCGGACGGGGGAGAGCGUGUGUGUGAUGGGAAAAUCCGGACCGACGUGUGUGCUGAAGGCGCACAGUGCUUGCCAGAUUUUCAACUCGAGCAUAAAUUGGUUGCUGUUGAGAAUUUAAGAAUUUGGAAUAUUGCAGUUUUUGGCUAAACUUAAUGCGUGGUUGGAGAUGUUAUGGUGACACUAAACAAAGUAUUCCUGAACUCUCCUUAGCUCCUUGGUAGUAACUGAGAAGACAGAAAUGAAGCAAAUCACAUGAGAAUGAAGAAUUCUUUAGCAGCUCAACGGAAUUUCUCGACCUGCUCCCAAAUCAGCGAGGUUUCUACUUGUUUCUCUUUCUGCCAACGCCCCUCAUUUCUCUCCUGCUUCCCUUCCCUAGUCUUUCCCCCAGCAGGGAGCCGGGCAUGGGUCCCCGGGUGUCUCCCUGCGUCCUGACUGCACUGACUGCGUUUCCUCUGACUGGGUCCAUCAGGGCUCUUCCUUCUCCAGCUCAUCGUCUUUUCAAGUGGUGAUCAGCUUGGUGGUAUCUGGCUGCUGGUAUUUGGUUGGCUUAUUGACAUACUCCAGGGUAAUCAGUGAUCACUUUGUUUGGAAACCGUUUUGGAGGCACCAUGGGAACAGAAGGAAACAUGAGUGACGCCGACCCUUGAGUGGGUGGGCGGGGAGCUCAGACGCCUCCUCUCCCUCGCUCUCCAGUGUCCGUGUCUGCACAGAGGUCCCCAUGACACUCACCAGCCCCAGCAGGGCAGACCUGACCGGGGACGGGCGCCGUGGAGGGCUGCAGCCUGGAAUCUGACGUGGCCCCUAGUGCUGUCUCAGGAGAAGGCUCUGGGGGACUUGGGGCAUGCUGGGCCUGGUGCAGCGAUGGCACUAAGGAGACCCGGGGAAAGACAGUGUCGUGGUCAUGUAUGCUUAGGAAGCAGCAUGGCCGUGUCCUCAGGGAUGUUCGUGUCCAGUAAAGACACUAGUAACUGCAACUUCAGUAAACACGCUUCAUGGCGGUGUCGACCUCGGGUUAGCUUGUUUGUAUGGGUGGUUUUCCUGGAGCAGCCUGACACAUGUUCUCUGGUGCCAUGGCUUAGUGGGGCUUGGUACGGUUUUGUGCCUGACGCGUGCACUUGGGUGUUCUCUUAUACUUUCUGUAACGCCUUUCCACUGCAAGGGCCAAACCCUCCUGGUUCCCUUCAGAGUCUUUUUGGCCUGAUGAUGACUCUUGAGUGAUACCCUGUGAUGUAGACACGCCCCAAAUGGAUUCUACUGUCUUUAAAACUAGGAACUUUGAAGAUUAAAAAAUAGAUUGUCACUACUAAUUUGACACCUAACUUCAGAAGCUUCACUGUCUAAUGUGAACUUUUCCAGAAAAACUGUGCCAUGGACAUUCUUCCUUUGGGGAAUUAACAUCCAGAUUCUGGUGAGGAUAUUGUGAGCUACCGGGGAGAUAAAAGUAUACAAGCCUGUCUGUGUGAGACUGCCCUCACUGCCAGCGCCUCUCUCCCAUGAUGGCUGCGAUAAAGCGCCUUGAAGGAUAAGCCCAAGGCAGCCCCUUCUUUCCUUAGGAAAUAUGAUUCAGCAGUCACAGGAACUAUCUGUAUGGUUUUUAUGACUAAAUUUUUGUUCUAAGUAAAACAUCCCUUUACUUAAAGGAGAGAAUGGGUUUUUUAUGAUCAGCUCAUUGCUUCCCUGUUCUUUCUCAAAUGCAUGUAUUUCGUGCACUCGCUCCAGCCGGACAGGCUCCCAGGAGCUUCCCUGGACCAGAAGAGCCAACGGGGAAGUGUGUGCGGGUGGGUGGGUGGCCUGUGAGGCAGUGGCCUGGCUGUGGGGGACAGAGUGCCCCAGCACUGAGCACUGAGCAGCUCUGUGGAGAUGCCUCAUUGUAAGGAGCCGCCUGGGGACUUUUUCCAUGUGGGUAGCUUUACUAGCGUUGAUUUUCUAGGUGAGUGACUUCUGAACCUGCAUUCUUCUCUAGACAGGAGACCUGUGCCUCAGGUUAAACGAUGAGCAAGGCUGUACCCCCAGUCACAGGUCCUGCUGCUGCCUGUGCCCGUGGGAUUGAGAUGCCAGUGCACCAGGUAGAGGCCUGGCCCAGGCUCUGGGAGCGGGAAGAGUGGAGAGGGUCACCCUGCUGAGUCACUGACAACUGUGGUGCUGGGCUUACUACAGAAAGGUGAGAUCAGGAGCAAGGCAGGUGCUUCAGGAGGCCACUGCUCCUGCAGCCCAGGCAGCCUGCUGUGCACUGGCCGCCACCACCUCCCGCUCAGGAAUCCUGUCUGUCACACCUCGCCAGCUGGCUUUCAGCCUGGCUGCCCUGACUCCUCCAGAACCAACCUUUCCCAGGCCCAGCUCGACCCUGUCACUGCUGUGCUCAGACCAUGACCACCAAGAUGGCCUGCGGCUGUCAGGAUGUUAACUGCAACGGGACUGCAGACAGGUUCUCAGCUGCACUUUUUCUAUGGUGAAUAUGUUACUUUUGUAACCACAGAAAUAAACUAAGAUUGUGUUCUUGCUGGGGGAGGGGUGUCCCAGAGUUAGCAUGGCCUGGCAUCCCUGCUCUGCCUGACUGUGCUGC
Rhinopithecus roxellana (golden snub-nosed monkey) is the source of this 3739-nucleotide RNA transcript. It is a transcript of the gene named NAD(P)HX dehydratase, with no coding region annotated. The record is from RefSeq and is a predicted model, not a curated record. The transcript is spliced from 11 exons. NCBI's taxonomy places the organism in Eukaryota, Metazoa, Chordata, Mammalia, Primates, Cercopithecidae.